UGGGGAAUAUUGCACAAUGGGGGAAACCCUGAUGCAGCGACGCCGCGUGAGCGAAGAAGGUUUUCGAAUCGUAAAGCUCUGUCCUAUGAGAAGAUAAUGACGGUAUCAUAGGAGGAAGCCCCGGCUAAAUACGUGCCAGCAGCCGCGGUAAUACGUAUGGGGCGAGCGUUGUUCGGAAUUAUUGGGCGUAAAGGGUACGUAGGCGGUCUAUUAAGUCAGGUGUGAAAGCGUGAGGCUAAACCUCAUUAAGCACUUGAAACUGAUAGACUUGAGUGAAGGAGAGGAAAGUGGAAUUCCUAGUGUAGCGGUGAAAUGCGUAGAUAUUAGGAGGAAUACCGGUGGCGAAGGCGACUUUCUGGACUUUUACUGACGCUCAGGUACGAAAGCGUGGGGAGCAAACAGG
This 403-nucleotide ribosomal RNA is filed under the name Verrucomicrobiota bacterium. RNAcentral describes it as "Verrucomicrobia bacterium partial 16S ribosomal RNA". It matches the Rfam family "Bacterial small subunit ribosomal RNA", at positions 355 to 776 of the family's 1533-position model. Lineage: Bacteria; Pseudomonadati; Verrucomicrobiota. The record is from RNAcentral.